CGCUGAGUAGAUCCUAGGAUUGUACUGAGCGUAUUGUAUUGAGCGGAUUGUACUCCCCUCGAUAUGAGGGUUCGUAGCAUUCAGCUGAGUUCUGCUCUCCAGGAUGCCCAUCUCUACGCGUGGGUUUGAGUUGCUUACUGCCUUUUUCGCAGUCGCUCUUACUUGCUGUCUUCUCUGAAGAAUGCGUUAUUGAGACUUUGUAUUCAGACGGGGUUGGCCAAGACUGAGUUUGUCCUAUGUCAGAUUAGGUUGGCCUCCCUGGUGGCAUUAGGAUGACUAUGUCCCCCUUCUAGUGACUGACCGGGGUUCCCUUCGGUUCCUUGGCCACAUUCCCUUAAAGGGACCUGGUUUCUGCGGAAGUUUUGGUCCCAGAAGCUUUUGAGCAGCCUUGGUAGGCUUUCUACGGAAGGCCUCUUUGAGGUUCAGCUUGGGCUGUUUUCUCUCGAAACUGCUGGACGUUUGUCUAGCCAUUUUGGCAUGCACUCUCCUCAAGCAUGGCGGCGUGGGUAUAUCGUUCCCCAUAUGCGUUCAACGCAGAGUUGAGUUCCCUUCGAAAGGGAACGUCUUGGGUUACUCAUGUAACCAUGAUUUCCUAAGAACAAGGAACGAGAAUCUCUGCGUUGCUUUGCCAUGCUUCGGGGCUGCCUGCUGAACAGUCCCUCAAGACGAUAAGAUACUGACUGAUUCUCUAGGCGCUCCUUUUAUACUUCCGGGUCGUGCUAUGAUGACGUCAUAGGCUGUCGCCGGCCAAUAGGAUUGGAGUGGUUUGAUUCCUUGGCUUUCAGACAUCGAUUCACGAUAUGCGGUCCCCAUAUGCGGUCAACACAGAGAUUCCCUGUUCUCAGGGAACCAUGGUUACAUGAGUAACCUGAGACGUUUUAUUAUUAACUAUUAAUUACUUAAUUAAUUUGUUUAUAUAUAUAUAUAUAUAUAUAUAUAUAUAUGUAUAUAAACACAAAUGUAUAUAAAUGGUUUUUUUUUCUGUUUUAUUUUAUAAUUUUUUAAAUCAGCAAUCAGUUUUUUAAAUCAGUUUUUUUUUUGUUUUUUUUGUUUUUUUUGUGCAUCAGACAGAAACAUGGAAAAUAUUUGUCGUCUGUGUAUCUAUGACUGGACUUAGCCCACAGAGAGAUAAGUGGGCGGAAAUCACAUUGACAGUUACACACUCCUCACCCUCAAACACCACCGAACAUUCAGAUGUGGCCAACAUGAAGCUACCUAUCGCUGCACUUGUUGCACUGAGUUGCAUCUAUUGGGAGGUCUCUGGACAGCUGGUGGAGGUGGUGGUCAGGCUUGGAGAUAAUGCAACCCUACACUGUGACUGCGAGUUUAUCAUGGCACAGGAAAUUCGAUGGGUCAAGAUCUGGUCUCCACAAAUCCAACAACCUCUGAUCAUCUCUGCAUACAAUAGCCUAUUAGAACCCAUUCCUCGAUUCUCUCUGUCCUGGAACAAUACUUCAAAAUCCUAUGACUUAGUGAUCGAGAACAUCACUGAAGCAGACCUUGGUCUCUACUAUUGCUCAAGGGUAGAGAAGACGACGAUGGAAGAGGAGGGAAAAAUCUCAGAGAAAGAUUGGUACCACACUGGGGAUACUGUCAUAAAUCUCACAUACGGUUCACCUGAAAGCCCCCCUGAGCUUGUGUGUGACUCAGAAAGCCCUCCUGUCUGUGACUGCUGGCAGUGCUGGCUGAUACUUCAAACAGUGUGUCCUGCGUCUUCUCUUCUGUCUGCCAUUUUGGCUUUUGUUUGUGGCUACAGCUGCUGCCACAAGACAGUUCUGAAGGACAGUUCUGAAGGUCAUCAAAGCAGCUCUGAGAUGCAAAGACGGUUGAGCCAAGAAGAGGAUGUCCAUAGAGAAGUUUGUUAUGCAUCACUGAACAUCCCCAAACGAGGAAACCAACGGACAAAGAGCAACCGAUUACCAAAUUCUGACUUCAGUGUGUACAACAGUGUAAAAAUGCACACUUAGGUAAAGGAUAAUGUACAGUCAGCUGGACAUACAGUCAACUCCAGAAUUAUUGGCACUCUUGUUAAAUAUGAUAGAACGGGGCUAGUGUUUGAAAAUGAAAAGGAAAAUAAAUGCUUUAACGUAAGUUGAAGAAGUCAUUUAAAUAAUUUAAUAUUUAGAAAGAUAAAUGUUAAUUAAUAACUUGAUUAUAAAUCACUGAAAAGAUAUGUAUUGAAGCGGCAGUGGAUUCCAGAAUCCAACCCUCCAGAAUCUCUCCAGAUCCUUCAGAUUCCCAGCUCCAUGUUGGUGCCUCUCCUCUUCAGUUCACCCCACUCAUUUUCUAUAGGGAUCAGGUCAGGUAACAGCCAUGACAGAAGCUUCAUUUUGUGCUCAGUGACCCAUUUUUGUGUUGGUUUUGAUGUUUGUUUUGGAUCAUUGUCCUGAUGGAAGAUCCAAACAUGGCCCAUUAUAGGAUUUCUAGCAGAAGCGGUCAGGUUUUGAUUUUUUUAUCAUUUGGUAUUCACUAGAAUCCAUGAUACCAUGUAUCUGAACAAGAUGUCCUCCAGCAAAAAAAAAAAAAAAUAGGCCCACAACAUUAAAGCAGUAUAUUUAACUGUGGACAAGAGGGUACUUUUUUUUAUCCCUGCAUGCACUAAACCCAUCUGGUGGGUUUGCUGCCAACAAGCUCUUUUUUUUAGUUUCAUCUGACCAUAGAAGCCGGGUUCCGUUUAAAGUUCCAGUCGCGUUUGACAACGGAAUAUGCUGGACUUUGUUUUUGAAUGAGUAAGGAGGAUUUUUCUUGAAAGCCUCCUGAACAACUUGUGGUGAUGUAGGUGCUGUCUGAUAAUUUUUUUUAGGUUUUCUGACCCAGAGAGUCAACUAAUCUGUGCAAUUCUCCAGCUGUGAUCCUUGGAGAGUCUUUGGCCACUCAAACUCUCCUCCUCACCGUGCAUUAGGACGAUAUAGACACACGUCCUCUUCCAGGCAGAUUUGUAGCAUCUUUAGUUGAUUGGAACUUCUUAAUUAUUGCCCUAAUGGUGGAAAUGGGGAUUUUCGAUGCUUUAGCUAUUUUCUUACAGCCAAUUUUGUGAAGUUUUGCUGCACAUCAGAACUAUAUUCUGUUUUACUCAUUGUGAUGAAUGAUUAAGGGAAUUUGGCCUUUGUGUUUCCUCAUGUUUAUACUCCUGUAGAACAAGAAGUCAAUGCUGGACAGUUUCAUACUCCUAGUCAGCCUGGUGUGCUAAAACAACAUAAAUAUGAAUGGGAAUAUACUUCAGAGAUAUUUUACUCAUAAAAAUUUCUAGGGGUGCCAAUAAUUGUGGCCAACAAGCAAAAACAUUUAUUUCAUAUUGUGAGUUUCCGCCACUCUCAAUUGUUUUACUUCAGUGAUAGGUUAGAAUUUUGUGAAUUUUUUGAAUGAAAGAACAAAAUGAUAAACAACAUGAUAAACAAUGCAUAUUUAUUUUCACUUUGCUCAUAUUUACCAAGGGUGCCAAUAAUUCUGGAGUUGACUGUAUAGCUAAAUAAACCCAAAGUUUAGUCCAAAAAAAAAAAAAAAACCCAACUAUAAUUUAUCCUCACUUUUAUGGUUACCCAACAAAUAAAUAAACGAGUAGAUAGGAAAUAUUGGUUUUGAUAAAAUAUUGACAUUGAUAAAAUUAUUUUGUUAUAUAUGAGAAAUAAACUAUGGAGCGAUAGGAGAGAUAACAUAUAGGCUACAGUUUAGAACAUAAACCUGGGUGAAAUUAAAAGACAGCGAUGUUUAUGUAUACAUUUUGUUUAUCCAUUAUACAUGAUUAAAUACAAGUGCUACAAACGAAUACAAUCAUUUUCAUUAGUGCAGUUUAAAUGAUGACCAAUACCUAAUAACCAUAUACAGGCAGCUGUAGCGUUUGUUUAUUGUAAGCAAGCAAAAGUUGACCAGCCACAUUUCCAUCAAACCUGCACUAAUCAGCAAAAAAAAAAAAAAAAGGCUUAAAAAGCAUUUACGGAAAAUCAAGCGGAAAACAUAAGACAUCUUUGUUUUUGCAAGUAGUCAACCUUCAGAUGCAUGCAACUUGCAGACCCCAUUUCACUGACCCCAUUUCAGCUGCUUAUCUCCUAAUCAGAUUUACAGCUUCAAAUGUUUCCAUCACAAUGCUUUUGGGGGUCAACGAAUGUGAACGAAAUUGUGCGACAAAACUGAUAUUCUUUACAAGGUUUGUAUAAAGCACAUCCACCUAACAUUAAAAAACAAAACAAAAAAAUAAUAAUAAUAUAUUUUUACUGGUAAGAGUUCAUUUUAGAGUUCUUCAUAGCUUGAAGCUAAUUAUAUUCAAUGUUAAUUACAUUACACAUACACAAGAACUGCCACAUACACAAUCAACAAAACUGACAAAAACAACUUUAAAAAACAAAUUAUGACAAAUGAAUGUAAAAGUCAAUUAUAGAAAGAUUUAUUGCUUGUAAUGAUUUAAAAGGAGGAAAUAGCAUUGACUCCACAUCCUAUAACAGCACCAAACAUUCAGAACAUGAAGUCUGGAUCAUUUCAUGGAUCAUUUCACACAGUAAAUAUAAAAUAUUUCUUGUUACUGUUACUAGUUUGUAUUAAUCACUUUAGUAAGAUGAUGAAUGUAAAUAUAGUGACCAGAUAAAGAUCCUCUGUAUGAGCUGAAUCUCAAAACAUGUAAAAAAUAAACCAGAAUUGUUUUCCAUA
Long non-coding RNA from Ctenopharyngodon idella (grass carp), 4641 nucleotides. RefSeq lists it as uncharacterized. The record is from RefSeq and is a predicted model, not a curated record. NCBI's taxonomy places the organism in Eukaryota, Metazoa, Chordata, Actinopteri, Cypriniformes, Xenocyprididae. The transcript is spliced from 6 exons.